Molecule: long non-coding RNA, 598 nt
Filed under: Homo sapiens (human)
Lineage: Eukaryota; Metazoa; Chordata; Mammalia; Primates; Hominidae
Description: novel transcript
Source: RNAcentral
GAGGAGGAGGUCGGAAAGGCCAUUCGAGAGAAGAUUGCUGAUGGCCCUGUGAAGAGAGAGGACAUUUUCUACACCACUGAGCUUUGGACAACUUUCUUUAGACCAGAAUUAGUUCGCCCAGCCCUGGAAGGGUCACUGAAGAAACUUCAACUGGACUAUGUCGAUCUCUUCAUUAUCCACAAUCCAUUGGCUAUGAAGCCUGGGGAGGAAUUGCUGCCUAAGGAUGCCAGUGGAAACAUUAUUUUUGAUACUGUGGAUCUUCGUGACACAUGGGAGGCCCUGGAGAAGUGCAAAGAAGCAGGUUUAACCAAGUCCAUCGGGGUGUCCAAUUUCAAUCACAAACUGCUGGAACUCAUCCUCAACAAGCCAGGGCUCAAGUACAAGCCCACCUGCAACCAGGAUGGACCCAGAUAGCCCAUAUCUCUUAGAGGAGCCAACCUUGAAAUCCAUUGCCAAGAAAUACAAUAGAAGCCCAGGCCAGGUUGCCCUGUGCUAUGAGCUGCAGCGGGGGGGUGGUGGUCCUGGCCAAGAGCUUCUCUGAGAAGAGAAUCAAAGAGAACUUCCAGGUUUUUGACUUUGAGUUGACUCCAGAGGACAU